This 341-nucleotide unclassified non-coding RNA is filed under the name soil metagenome. RNAcentral describes it as "partial contains 5.8S ribosomal RNA, internal transcribed spacer 2, and large subunit ribosomal RNA". The stretch from base 1 to 120 matches the Rfam family "5.8S ribosomal RNA", at positions 35 to 154 of the family's 154-position model. The record is from RNAcentral.
GAUGAAGAACGUAGCAAAAUGCGAUAAGUAGUGUGAAUUGCAGAAUUCAGUGAAUCAUCGAAUCUUUGAACGCACAUUGCGCCCUUUGGUAUUCCAAAGGGCAUGCCUGUUCGAGCGUCAUUUGUACCCUCAAGCUUUGCUUGGUGUUGGGCGUCUUGUCUCUAGCUUUGCUGGAGACUCGCCUUAAAGUAAUUGGCAGCCGGCCUACUGGUUUCGGAGCGCAGCACAAGUCGCACUCUCUAUCAGCAAAGGUCUAGCAUCCAUUAAGCCUUUUUUUCAACUUUUGACCUCGGUUCAGGUAGGGAUACCCGCUGAACUUAAGCAUAUCAAUAAGCGGAGGA